UACGUAGGGUGCAAGCGUUGUCCGGAAUUACUGGGCGUAAAGAGCUCGUAGGCGGUUUGUCGCGUCGUCUGUGAAAACUCGAGGCUCAACCUCGAGCUUGCAGGCGAUACGGGCAGACUUGAGUACUGCAGGGGAGACUGGAAUUCCUGGUGUAGCGGUGAAAUGCGCAGAUAUCAGGAGGAACACCGGUGGCGAAGGCGGAUCUCUGGGCCUUACCUGACGCUCAGGCGCGAAAGCUAGGGGAGCGAACAGG
RNAcentral lists this ribosomal RNA (253 nucleotides) under uncultured bacterium. RNAcentral's name for it is "partial 16S ribosomal RNA". It matches the Rfam family "Bacterial small subunit ribosomal RNA", at positions 524 to 776 of the family's 1533-position model. The record is from RNAcentral.